AGUGGUUUAUUGUCCUUUAAGCCAACAAGUCAAAGCCAUGCUCCAAAACAGAAGCAGGUCUUUCUGAGCUACUUUGUGAAAAAUCCGUGCUAACCUUAUUAGAUGAUGAAUUGUUUUACAAAGGCUAGUUGUAAUGUUGGAGAGAGUACUCUUGAUUAUUUCCCAACUUAAAUAAAAGGUACUUAGCUAGAAGGGAUACAAAAUUCACAGGGCAAGAUUUUACUGCCAGGGAGAUUUUUGUAACACAUGUUCCCGAUGCUCAGUGAUUUUUUUUCUGAAAUGUGGAUCUCCAAUAUGUCACCAAAUCUGCUCCACACGGAAGAGACCGUUCCUCCUGCCAGCAAGAGUUGAACUGACACCUGCUUACAACACGAUCUUUAACAAUCUGAAACAGUUUAAGUAUAGUUGGCAUAUGAAUGACUGCAGUGUGGGGACACCAGAUCGGAAGCCUCCCGGAACUUGUGAGGGCAGAAAAAGAAGUCCUGAGCUCUGCAAGCCCAGUGGAAGGGCUGGUGCUGUUCCUUUCAUGUGCUGACAUAGAGAAGCCCUAUUUGAUUGGAAUACCUUCAGCUCCUCGAACUUAAAUCAUCUUGCCUUGUUGCUGCUCAGAUUGCCUGUCCAGUAGGAGAACUGGUAGAAAAAAGCCUACUUAAGCUGCAGCUGCCAGAAUAAAAGGAAAAUAUCAUGAUUUUGGAUCACAUUUCCAUAGCAGCAAUCAGACUACUAAAAUUCACAAAUAAAGGAUCUGCUUGGGUGCAUGCAGCCAGUAGAAAAUUCUGCGAAUGUUGAAAGGAGCAGCUCACACAACUUACUUCCGAGCUCUAUUUUCAUUUUGUUGAAA
Molecule: long non-coding RNA, 841 nt
Organism: Phacochoerus africanus (Common warthog)
Lineage: Eukaryota; Metazoa; Chordata; Mammalia; Artiodactyla; Suidae
Exons: 4
Source: RefSeq, a predicted model, not a curated record